AUGUAAAACGGCGUCGUUUUGUUUAAGUCAGAAACCCUAGGCGCCGCACUAUAAAUAGCUCUCUCACACCUCACACGGUCAUUCCACAGCCUCAUGCCUUCUAGUCUUCUCUUCGUCAGUUCCCUUUUCUUUUUCGAUGUUUGAUUCUUCUCUUCAGCGCCUUAAGGCCCUCAACGGUAUGAGACUUCAAACGUUCCCGUAUUCCCUAAUCAACAAUCAGACUUCAGUUCCUCUCUUCCUCAAUCAUAAAUCCACUUUCGAUUUCGAUCCGAUUCUUCUGGGGUGAAGUGCCAAACUCCCUAUCUUGAAUCUGCCUCUUCUAGAAUCACCAUGAGCUCAUGGUCAAGGAUGAGAAGACCCUCCUCGUUGGUGCGAAGCCAGUCGCCAUCUUUGGGCUCAGAGGAGAUCCCAUGGAGUGGUAUGCUGCUGAUAUUGUCCACUACAAUGUUAAAAGACGAGGACAAAGCUGCUGCUCACUUGAAGAUGGAGCUGCUGGGAUUGUUAAUGAUGGGUCUGAGAUGGUGUGCCAAAUGAAAGGCACGGUUGGAUUGAAUGCUCCUCUCAUGAUACAGGCUUGAACCUUCAAUGUGCUAAUGUAAAUGGAGUGAAAUUAUUUGCAAGGGGCAAGAGGCAAGGAGAGAAAGAAUGACUCUGUCGUUAAGGGUAUGAUACGCUUGGAAGAACUUGUGAUUUGAAUGCCACAUGCUUUAAGGAAACAACUAGUUGAUGAUUGUCAAUCAGUUACUCAUCUGGGCAAGGCCCAUAUCCAUUCUUGCAGCUUGUUAAACUUCCCCGUACUCUAAAUGUUGAUGACAUACUGAAGAAGUAUCUAGAAUACAGAUCAAACAGCGAUGAUUUGCGACAAGAACCAAUUAUCAAAAUUUUCCAGCUGUUUUAGAGGAUAUAUUUCUAGAUAAUGUUUUUAGCUUUCUCUUUUCUUUCCAUAUCGAAAUGGCUCCAAUGGCCUUGAUUUUUUCCAUAUUGAGAAGGCUCCAAUGGCCUUGAUUUCUUAUUUCCUAGUUUCCAGUGUAAUUAUUGUAAGUAAAUUGGUGAGCAAGGAGCUUAAAAGGCUAGUUAAAAUAGAAAAAAAACCAUCAAACCGGCCUUCCAAAAAAAAAAAUUUGUUUUAAAUAAUUUUUAUAUAAGAAAAAAACCGAACAUAACCGGUUGGUUCGGUUCAGUUUUCGGUGUUGAAUUAAGAAAAAUGGAAAACCGAACCGAACAGAGGCAAAACCGAAAACUGAACUGAAUCAAACCGAACCCACCCCUAGAAAGAACUCAUUCGGUUGGGUCUAUGAAGGUGAAGCUACUGUUGCAAAAAUGACUCAAGCGUGGUGAAGCUACUGUUGCAAAAAUGACUCAAGCGUGCCGUAGCAUCAUCAAAUCAAGACGACAAGUUGGUCAGUCGUCAUCCACGUGAUGCUGAGCGUUUGUUGUCCUUUGAUUCAAUUAUGGCUUGCUACCAAUAAUUUACUGUUGGUAAAAGGUGAUAAAUGUGUAUGACCACUGUCGACAAUUAUUUGCAUGUGACUUUUUUUUUAAAAGUAUUAUUUACAUUUGAUUUUCUGCAAACAUUGUUUUUUUAAAUUUAUUUAAUAAACCCAACCCCUUCCCACCCGUCAAACAGUUACUAAGGGAGAGAGUUAGGAGGCAGGGGUAUGAUAAGUGAAAACUUGAGAAUUAUGGGUUUAGGUGUGCACAGGGACAUGGAAAAAUUCUUAAUGAAGGUCAUUUGAAUAUAUAAGUAAGGUAAAUGAAGAAACUACAUAACAUAUCCUAUUUAAGUUAGAGUGGUCAGAAUACAGAAGAGGCUGUGUCCUAUUAAUGGUUAUUUUCAAAUUUGGGGUGACAAAAAGUGAUGAAAAAAAUUUAAAUAAUAAAAUGCAUGAUAAUAUUUUUCCAGUGGGGCAUCAACUUCCAUUAUGGAUUAUUAUUGCUUUUCCCCAUUGAUUACGUAGGAAUAAUUCUAUAUUCCAACUUCUAUUUCAACUGGUCUUAGAAGCAUGAUGCGUUUUAGAAACACUGCAGGUGAAUGGCCAGAAAUUGGAGAGAAAAAGCGAGGUUUUGCAAUUGCCAGGAGCAAAGGAAAGGAAAAUAAGGAUUGCUUCACAAAAGUAAUCAACUAAGAAGCACCGAUACGGGUACGAGUAUCCGGAUACGGUACGGUCGGAUCCGUGGAUACGGCAAAUCCUAAAUGUAAUUGGAUCCGGGUACGCGAAGGAUACGUGAAUUAAAUAUAUAUAUAUAUAUAUAUAUAUAUAAUUAGAAGAAAAAAAAUUAUG
Molecule: long non-coding RNA, 2282 nt
Organism: Rosa chinensis
Lineage: Eukaryota; Viridiplantae; Streptophyta; Magnoliopsida; Rosales; Rosaceae
Exons: 8
Source: RefSeq, a predicted model, not a curated record